GCUUCUUAAGUUGUGGAUCUGAUCGCAUUAUAUCAUUUUUUUCCAGUUUAAUAUUCUUCUUAUUUUUUACAUUUGAAGAAGCUGCUUUCUCCUUCUUCCUCUGAUUUGUAUCUUCCAUGUAAUAAUUCUAUCUACCCUGAUAAAGUGGGGAUCCACAGGUAACCACAGGUAACUUAGGUGUCAAAAGGCACUUGUUCAGCAGUGAAGAAACGAAAUGAUACUUUCUUUUUAGCACUCUACAUAGGCAGAUGCAACAUUGCAAUAAUUUCCUCCACCUUGUUGUUGGAGCUGGGUGGGGGCCAUCACCUAGAACCUGACGACUCGUAAACUUUUUUAAAUUGCUCACGAAGUUUCAGUGGUGGAAUCUUGAUGAAUCUAAUAAUGGAACGCAAAAUCUCCAUGUGGAAAUUUUUCCCCAGGGUACUGAUCAUGAAUAUUUAGCUACGCUUGAUGCAAAAUUGCUUUGGGAAUUUGACUCAUUAGAUAGCAAUUUUAUUUAAUCUUUUUGCUGUGAUUCAAUAAACAAUUUCGCUUUCUUUUGUCUAAAAAAGUAUAGUUUUUUAAUCACCAUUUUUAUUAUGAUGUUCUUUUGUUGCAGGGUGGCCGAAAGUAAUUUUGCAAAGUUUAUUCUAAUAUAUGGUAAUUUUGUUGUCAAUAAUAAAUAAUUGUCAAUAAAUGACUUCAUUCUAUAUGGUAAUUUUGUUGUCAAUAAUAAAUAAUUGUCAAUAAAUGACUUCAUUCUAA
Non-coding RNA from Bemisia tabaci, 744 nucleotides. The record is from RefSeq and is a predicted model, not a curated record. Lineage: Eukaryota; Metazoa; Arthropoda; Insecta; Hemiptera; Aleyrodidae.